RNAcentral lists this ribosomal RNA (248 nucleotides) under uncultured bacterium. RNAcentral describes it as "partial 16S ribosomal RNA". It matches the Rfam family "Bacterial small subunit ribosomal RNA", at positions 529 to 776 of the family's 1533-position model. The record is from RNAcentral.
AGGGUGCAAGCGUUAAUCGGAAUUACUGGGCGUAAAGCGUGCGUAGACGGUUAUGUAAGUCGGGUGUGAAAGCCCCGGGCUCAACCUGGGAAUGCCAUUCGAGACUGCAUAGCUAGGGUGCGGAAGAGGGAAGCGGAAUUUCCGGUGUAGCGGUGAAAUGCGUAGAUAUCGGAAGGAACACCAGUGGCGAAAGCGGCUUCCUGGUCCAGCACCGACGUUCAGGCACGAAAGCGUGGGGAGCAAACAGG